Molecule: ribosomal RNA, 500 nt
Filed under: uncultured bacterium
Lineage: Bacteria
Description: partial 16S ribosomal RNA
Rfam family: Bacterial small subunit ribosomal RNA
Source: RNAcentral
UGGGGAAUAUUGGACAAUGGGGGCAACCCUGAUCCAGCCAUGCCGCGUGAGUGAUGAAGGGCCUUCGGGUUGUAAAGCUCUUUUGGCGGGGACGAUGAUGACGGUACCCGCAGAAUAAGCCCCGGCUAACUUCGUGCCAGCAGCCGCGGUAAGACGAAAGGGGCUAGCGUUGUUCGGAAUUACUGGGCGUAAAGCGAGUGUAGGCGGUUGCCGUAGUCAGGUGUGAAAGCCUUGAGCUCAACUCAAGAAAUGCACUUGAUACUGGGUGACUAGAGGACCGGAGAGGAUAGUGGAAUUCCCAGUGUAGUGGUGAAAUACGUAGAGAUUGGGAAGAACACCAGUGGCGAAGGCGGCUAUCUGGACGGUUACUGACGCUAAGACUCGAAAGCGUGGGGAGCAAACAGGAUUAGACACCCUGGUAGUCCACGCCGUAAACGAGGGUGCUAGACGUUGGCGAGCUUGCUCGUCAGUGUCGCAGCUAACGCGUUAAGCACCCCGCC